AGUGAACGCUGGCGGCAGGCCUAACACAUGCAAGUCGAACGGCAGCACAGUAAGAGCUUGCUCUUACGGGUGGCGAGUGGCGGACGGGUGAGGAAUACAUCGGAAUCUACUUUUUCGUGGGGGAUAACGUAGGGAAACUUACGCCAAUACCGCAUACGAUCUACGGGUGAAAGCAGGGGACCUUCGGACCUUGCGCGAUUGAAUGAGCCGAUGUCGGAUUAGCUAGUUGGCGGGGUAAAGGCCCACCAAGGCGACGAUCCGUAGCUGGUCUGAGAGGAUGAUCAGCCACACUGGAACUGAGACACGGUCCAGACUCCUACGGGAGGCAGCAGUGGGGAAUGUUGGACAAUGGGCGCAAGCCUGAUCCAGCCAUACCGCGUGGGUGAAGAAGGCCUUCGGGUUGUAAAGCCCUUUUGUUGGGAAAGAAAAGCAGCAGGUUAAUACCCCGCUGUUCUGACGGUACCCAAAGAAUAAGCACCGGCUAACUUCGUG
RNAcentral lists this ribosomal RNA (492 nucleotides) under uncultured bacterium. RNAcentral describes it as "partial 16S ribosomal RNA". It matches the Rfam family "Bacterial small subunit ribosomal RNA", at positions 29 to 507 of the family's 1533-position model. The record is from RNAcentral.